AGUGAACGCUGGCGGUAGGCCUAACACAUGCAAGUCGAACGGCAGCACAGGAGAGCUUGCUCUCUGGGUGGCGAGUGGCGGACGGGUGAGGAAUACAUCGGAAUCUACUCUGUCGUGGGGGAUAACGUAGGGAAACUUACGCUAAUACCGCAUAUGACCUACGGGUGAAAGCAGGGGACCUUCGGGCCUUGCGCGAUUGAAUGAGCCGAUGUCGGAUUAGCUAGUUGGCGUGGUAAAGGCCCACCAAGGCGACGAUCCGUAGCUGGUCUGAGAGGAUGAUCAGCCACACUGGAACUGAGACACGGUCCAGACUCCUACGGGAGGCAGCAGUGGGGAAUAUUGGACAAUGGGCGCAAGCCUGAUCCAGCCAUACCGCGUGGGUGAAGAAGGCCUUCGGGUUGUAAAGCCCUUUUGUUGGGAAAGAAAUCCAGCUGGCUAAUACCCGGUUGGGAUGACGGUACCCAAAGAAUAAGCACCGGCUAACUUCGUGCCAGCAGCCGCCGCGG
RNAcentral lists this ribosomal RNA (506 nucleotides) under uncultured bacterium. RNAcentral describes it as "partial 16S ribosomal RNA". It matches the Rfam family "Bacterial small subunit ribosomal RNA", at positions 29 to 523 of the family's 1533-position model. The record is from RNAcentral.